CUCGUAUUAAAAGGACAGAGAUUCUUGCAGAACGGUACUUGUGUCUGAAGCUUCCCAGCGGAGGAAACCAUACAAAUCAUUCUUCAAGAUGAAAGGUUUCACUUUGGCUCUCUUGACUGCGGUGUUGGUGGGCGUGGCAUUUGCACAGCAAUGCAGCAACUUCUGGUGUGAAGACAAAAAUGAUCGUUUAUUGUGUUGUGAGGAACGCCCAUCCUGUCCUUCACAAGGAAGGUGCCCCAAUUCCAAGACCUCUUCAAACAGCGGUUCCGGUCCAUUUAAAUGCGAAGAUGACAGCGAUUGUGAGACAGGAUUCAUUUGCUGCCACGACAAGUGCCUUAGACACAAAGUCUGCAAAAUUGCUGAAGUUGGAAGCUCUUAGGAUACAGCACUGAUCAAGACAGAUGUUCAACAUGAUUUUCAAAACAGGCUUUGUUUUUAACUGAUAACGUUACUGCUUAGUACCUUUUAAUACUAGAGCCACUUUUGAACCAUUGUACUGUAUUCCUGUUAGAGAAAAAGUAAAUAAAAAAAUGUGAUGAA
Macrobrachium nipponense is the source of this 540-nucleotide long non-coding RNA. RefSeq lists it as uncharacterized. NCBI's taxonomy places the organism in Eukaryota, Metazoa, Arthropoda, Malacostraca, Decapoda, Palaemonidae. The record is from RefSeq and is a predicted model, not a curated record. The transcript has 4 exons.